This 888-nucleotide ribosomal RNA is filed under the name uncultured bacterium. RNAcentral's name for it is "bacterial SSU rRNA". It matches the Rfam family "Bacterial small subunit ribosomal RNA", at positions 8 to 916 of the family's 1533-position model. The record is from RNAcentral.
AGAGUUUGAUCAUGGCUCAGGACGAACGCUGGCGGUAUGCCUCAUACAUGCAAGUCGAACGAUAAGGCUCCUUCGGGAGUACAUAAGUGGCGGACGGGUGAGUAACACGUAGGAAAUCUACCUCAAGGAGGGGGACAACCCUGGGAAACUAGGGCUAAUACCCCAUAUGUGUCUAGUUGAAAUACUAGCCAUGAAAACUCCGGUGCCUUGAGAUGAGCCUGCGCCUGAUUAGCUUGUUGGUAGGGUAAAGGCCUACCAAGGCGACGAUCAGUAGCUGGUUUGAGAGGAUGAUCAGCCACAAUGGAACUGAGACACGGUCCAUACUCCUACGGGAGGCAGCAGUAGGGAAUUUUGCGCAAUGGGCGAAAGCCUGACGCAGCAAUACCGCGUGAGCGACGAAGCACUUCGGUGUGUAAAGCUCUGUCAGUGGGGACGAAAUAUGACGGUACCCACAAAGGAAGCAUCGGCUAACUACGUGCCAGCAGCCGCGGUAAUACGUAGGAUGCAAGCGUUGUCCGGAAUUAUUGGGCGUAAAGAGUUCGUAGGCGGCAUAUUAAGUCUGGUGUUAAAGCCCGGGGCUCAACCCCGGAUCAGCACUGGAUACUGAUAAGCUAGAGUACAGUAGAGGCAAGGGGAAUUCCUAGUGUAGCGGUGAAAUGCGUAGAUAUUAGGAGGAACACCAGUGGCGUAAGCGCCUUGCUGGGCUGUAACUGACGCUGAGGAACGAAAGCCAGGGUAGCAAAUGGGAUUAGAUACCCCAGUAGUCCUGGCCGUAAACGAUGGAUACUAGGUGUUGCGGGUAUCGACCCCUGCAGUGCCGCAGUUAACGCGAUAAGUAUCCCGCCUGGGGAGUACGCACGCAAGUGUAAAACUCAAAGGAAUUGACGG